CUGUAAAGGGGAUGAUAUAUUAUUUUCGAGCUCUUAAGAUGUUGGCUUUCUGGAUUCUGCAUCACAGAUGGACAUUAGGG
This 80-nucleotide small nucleolar RNA is filed under the name Rosa chinensis. RNAcentral describes it as "sRNA RchiOBHm_Chr1g0368801". It matches the Rfam family "Small nucleolar RNA J33". Rfam says of the family: J33 is a member of the C/D class of snoRNA which contain the C (UGAUGA) and D (CUGA) box motifs. Most of the members of the box C/D family function in directing site-specific 2'-O-methylation of substrate RNAs. The record is from Rfam by way of RNAcentral. Lineage: Eukaryota; Viridiplantae; Streptophyta; Magnoliopsida; Rosales; Rosaceae.